GAGUUUGAUCAUGGCUCAGGAUGAACGCUAGCGGCAGGCUUAACACAUGCAAGUCGAGGGGUAUAUGUCUUCGGAUAUAGAGACCGGCGCACGGGUGCGUAACGCGUAUGCAAUCUACCUUUUACAGGGGAAUAGCCCAGAGAAAUUUGGAUUAAUGCCCCAUAGUAUUAUGAAAUGGCAUCAUUUUAUAAUUAAAGUCACAACGGUAAAAGAUGAGCAUGCGUCCCAUUAGUUAGUUGGUAAGGUAACGGCUUACCAAGACAAUGAUGGGUAGGGGUCCUGAGAGGGAGAUCCCCCACACUGGUACUGAGACACGGACCAGACUCCUACGGGAGGCAGCAGUGAGGAAUAUUGGACAAUGGGCGCAAGCCUGAUCCAGCCAUGCCGCGUGCAGGAAGACGGUCCUAUGGAUUGUAAACUGCUUUUAUACAGGAAGAAACACUCCGACGUGUCGGAGCUUGACGGUACUGUAGGAAUAAGGAUCGGCUAACUCCGUGCCAGCAGCCGCGGUAAUACGGAGGAUCCAAGCGUUAUCCGGAAUCAUUGGGUUUAAAGGGUCCGUAGGCGGUUUAAUAAGUCAGUGGUGAAAUCUGGUCGCUCAACGAUCAAACGGCCAUUGAUACUGUUAGACUUGAAUUAUAAGGAAGUAACUAGAAUAUGUAGUGUAGCGGUGAAAUGCUUAGAUAUUACAUGGAAUACCAAUUGCGAAGGCAGGUUACUACUUAUGGAUUGACGCUGAUGGACG
This 745-nucleotide ribosomal RNA is filed under the name uncultured bacterium. RNAcentral's name for it is "bacterial SSU rRNA". It matches the Rfam family "Bacterial small subunit ribosomal RNA", at positions 9 to 755 of the family's 1533-position model. The record is from RNAcentral.